Molecule: ribosomal RNA, 256 nt
Filed under: uncultured bacterium
Lineage: Bacteria
Description: partial 16S ribosomal RNA
Rfam family: Bacterial small subunit ribosomal RNA
Source: RNAcentral
GACGUAGGUGGCGAACGUUAUCCGGAAUUAUUGGGCGUAAAGGGUGCGUAGGCGGCAUGAUAAGUUAUUGGCGGCAAAUCGAGGCUCAACCUCGUGGAAACUGAUAAUACUGUCUUGCUUGAGUGCAGAAGAGGUUAACGGAACUCCAUGUGGAGCGGUAAAAUGUGUAGAUAUAUGGAAGAACAUCAAUAACGGCGAAGGCAGUUAACUAUUCUGUUACUGACGUUGAGGCACGAAAGCGUGGGGAGCAAAAAGG